Molecule: long non-coding RNA, 187 nt
Organism: Ipomoea nil (Japanese morning glory)
Lineage: Eukaryota; Viridiplantae; Streptophyta; Magnoliopsida; Solanales; Convolvulaceae
Exons: 3
Source: RefSeq, a predicted model, not a curated record
GUGUGUACUUAAUGUGAGUUGUUGUUGAAACUUUAAAGUGCGUGAGUUUUGUACUUAAUGUGUGUGAGUGUGUACUUAAUGUAAUUUGUUAUUAAAACUUAAGAUACGUGUGUUUUUGUGCUUAAGGUGCGUGAGUUUUGUGCUUAAGGUGCGUGAGUUUGUGUUCUAAAUGUAUUUUGUUUGUUUG